CGUAACGUAGACACUUGGUUCAGUUUUUCUGCUAUGCAUUUUUCAUUUUUGUGCAUUUGAAUUUUUUUGAGAAAUUAAUUUAAAAACUAAGAAAUGUCUCCCAUAAACUUAAAAUGGGCCAUUGUGACAUCAUACUAGGCUCUGACUCUGCAACAACUUAAAGGUACACUUCGCAGGAUUUUCACCUUAAAGCUGCAGUUGGCAAGUCUGAGUGUCUGACAGAUUGAGGGGACUGUUUACAACUCUCAUGCCCCUCCCCUACUACCACCGAGCACCCUCUCAUCGAGUUUGUGCUUACGGCCUGCUGUGAAUCGAGCAACUGCCCCUCCAUUCCAGCCAAUCACAGCACGAGUAGCUCCCACAAAGCAACCGCGAAGUGGCCAAUGACAGUGCUGCUCGCUACCACGAUAUGCAACCGCAAAAGCAACAGCGAACAAUGAGCCAAUCAGAGAGACUUUACCAUUGGCGACGUAAUUUCCUCAGCCAUUGUAGCGGGGUUUUUAAUUCAUUCAGCGCAUCUCAGGUACGUUAAACCACAAAUUACCUGACGGUCUAUCUGUGGAAAAUUGAGGACAUCGACUGCUUUGGAACUGAGGCCAGUGCCACAUUCUUACAGGCCUAUCUGGUGGAUGCAUGGCCUUGCCAGGUGGAACAGGGGCCUUGCCAGGUGGAACAGGGGCCUGGCCAGGUGGAACAGGGGCCUGGCCAGGUGGAACAGGGGCCUUGCCAGGUGGAACAGGGGCCUGGCUGCGGAGGGGAGAGUGGAGCCCCACUCCUACAGUGGCCUUCUACGGCAUGCUGCCAACCAUUUGUACCACCAGACUGGCAGUGCACUGGAGGACUACAAACACACACUGGCUGCAUUGGAGACAGAGGAGGUGUCUGUGGCUGAUGAGGGCUAUUUUGAGCCUGAGGCAGAGGAGUUAGAGGACUUUACUGUCCCCAUCCUGGAAUCUCCCCCACUCGCUGGUCCCACUGGUACGGCUUCUUCACUUGGCACGGGUUCUGCGAAUGUAGCACCUGCCGCACCACUCACCAGUGUUUCCCCGGUGCCUGCCACACCACCAUCCAGCUGCCUGAAGUGAACAUGGCAACACUGGCACAAUGUACAACAAGCGUAGCUGAAGUCAGGAGACUGAGAUGCUGCAACAAGCCUGUCCUGAGGCUCCAAUCGCAGGACCUGUGCAGCAGCAGUCUACACCCCAGAAAGAGGCUCUGUCCAUCGUGGUUGUGGUGGACAACCCACAUGUCUUUCCUCUGCCAGCAUGGCCAGGCUGAGAAGACGGCUGACAUUUGGGGAGACAGACCAACCUGCCGCAACACCCUUUUGGCUACAGCGUCCUGUGAGCAGCACAACAUUCACCUCCCUUCAGCGCCCUUCAGCCAGCGCAACAUUCACCUCCCUGCAACGUCAUUUAGCCAGCGCCACCCUCACCUCAGUGCAGCGCACUUCAGCCACCGCCACGCUCACAUCCCCACAGCGCACUUCAGCCACCGCCAGGCUCACAUCCCCACAGCGCACUUCAGCCACCACCUCGCAAGGUCCAAGCCAGAGGCUGAUCCUGCCAGCCGGUCUUGUGCAAAGGGAUGGGAGGGGGAAGAGGAGCA
This is a long non-coding RNA of Alosa sapidissima (American shad), 1608 nucleotides long. RefSeq lists it as uncharacterized. Lineage: Eukaryota; Metazoa; Chordata; Actinopteri; Clupeiformes; Clupeidae. The record is from RefSeq and is a predicted model, not a curated record. The transcript has 3 exons.